CUGAAUUAUAGGUUCAUCACUGAUAUUGUAGAUGAUAAUGGUGAAUGAUUGUCUCAUGACGCUAUUGACCAAGUGUAUUACCUGCAUGUUACGUUUGUAGACAUUUUAUACACUGUAACUGAAAAUAUGUGUUUAUUACUUAACACAUUUCCUCCUAAUAGUUAAAAGUUAAGGCGGUGUCACAGAGUAAAUAUAUAUAAAUAAAGGGUAUGUAAUACAAAGUUUCCCAUCGAAACAGGAAGAUGGAGAAAUGUACCAUGAAAUGAGAGAAUUUGUCCUC
This 280-nucleotide long non-coding RNA is filed under the name Mytilus galloprovincialis (Mediterranean mussel). Lineage: Eukaryota; Metazoa; Mollusca; Bivalvia; Mytilida; Mytilidae. The record is from RNAcentral.